Molecule: small RNA, 327 nt
Filed under: Pongo abelii (Sumatran orangutan)
Lineage: Eukaryota; Metazoa; Chordata; Mammalia; Primates; Hominidae
Description: processed transcript
Source: RNAcentral
ACACACCGGGAAUGCAACUGAGAGAUGCAAGUCAGCAAGUGCCAGCCGCGAACAUGAGUGUCUGGCCCUGGGUGGAUGCUCCUCGCUGUCUUGGUGCUGAUUCUCUGCCUGGGCCCGAGCUGACAAUUUACUGGUUCAUCAAUGAAACAAUAUUAAAUUAUGAAGAUGUAAGGAAAAAAUCCUACGCUAACACUGUCGCAGUUUGAAAGCUUUAAAAAGUUGAAGUCUAUUGGAAACCUUCUUAUAAGAAACCUUCCUAGUCAGAUAAUUCAACUUUCUUCUUUUCUUCAUUCAUGAAAAUGCAGAUCCACUGAGAAAGGGAAUAAG